This 758-nucleotide long non-coding RNA is filed under the name Toxoplasma gondii VEG. The record is from RNAcentral. Lineage: Eukaryota; Apicomplexa; Conoidasida; Eucoccidiorida; Sarcocystidae.
UGUAUCGUUUAGCCUUGUUGUCGACACAGUAAUGCCACAGUUUCGCAGUUCCAGGCGACACACAGGCAUGUUGCUGUGCGUUCAGGUAGCUAUCAUUCACGAGGAUGUGAAAUCCAGCUGUUCGCCUGUGUACAGGCGAUGCAUCAUUCAGGGCGAUCAUGUUAAAGCGUAUCAUGACUUAGACCUCCCCCUGGCAGCAAACAUGAUACAUGACACUCACGUUUGUGUUCUGCGCUAAAUGUUGAUGUUUCCCCGUACACGUCAGGUGGCACCCUCCUCGUUAUUGAAGGGUAUUGACAGUGACGGCUGUCGUCGGUUCGAAGGCUAGGCAGCGGAAUUCUUAUUAGGGAUGGUGCUGUGAGUAGCAGAGUUCUUCACGAGUGUCACGUGUCGAGCAGACGGCGGGGUUCAACGAUGGCGCAUCAUAUGCUUGUUUGCGUUAUGUGUCUGCAUUCAUGCGUGGAGCACGACUGUGUGUCUUGGAAGUCCUUGUUGGUCUGUGGUGCGUCGCCCAGCGCUGUCUCGAUGCCCCCGAUGUACAUCUGAACUGUACCGGUGCUCAUACUCGCGAUAGCUCCAGGGCGCCGUAGCGCUGCGUCAUCCUCAAGCAGUCGCCGAUGUACACACAACCGGUAUCAUGACGUUUUCCACCGGCCACAUCCCUAUGCGUUGACGCGUAAGAGUGAAUGCGGUGACGUUAGGUUGCCCGACGAGUGGUCCACCGUCGCUGAAGAGUGCAACGACGCGACAGAUGUGAG